RNA transcript from Podarcis raffonei (Aeolian wall lizard), 5764 nucleotides. It is a transcript of the gene named CUGBP Elav-like family member 6, with no coding region annotated. The record is from RefSeq and is a predicted model, not a curated record. The transcript has 14 exons. Lineage: Eukaryota; Metazoa; Chordata; Lepidosauria; Squamata; Lacertidae.
CGGGCGGGGCGGGGCAGAGCCGGCUGGGAACAUCAUGGCUACUCUGGCCAACGGGCUAGCGCAGCAACAACCUCCCCCCGGGCCCCCGCCCCCGCCGCCGCCGCCUCCUCCUCCGCCUCCGCCGCCGCAGGCGGAGAGCACUGCCUUCAGCACCACGAACAGCUCCGGGAGGAUGAACGGGCUGACGACGCCGACGCACGGCCCGGGCGGCACCAUCGCCAUGAAGGACCACGAUGCCAUCAAGCUCUUCAUCGGGCAGAUCCCGCGCAACCUGGAGGAGAGCGACCUCAAGCCGCUCUUCGAGGAGUUCGGCAAGAUCUACGAGCUCACCGUGCUCAAGGACCGCUUCACCGGCAUGCACAAAGGCUGUGCCUUUCUUACAUACUGUGCCCGGGAUUCAGCCCUCAAAGCCCAGAGUGCCCUGCAUGAGCAGAAGACAUUGCCUGGGAUGAACCGCCCAAUCCAAGUGAAGCCAGCAGACAGCGAGGGCCGAGGAGAAGACAGGAAGCUUUUUGUGGGCAUGCUGGGGAAGCAGCAGAGUGAGGAUGACGUCCGGCGACUCUUUGAGCCCUUUGGCCAGAUUGAAGAAUGCACCAUCCUCAGAGGCCCCGAUGGAGCCAGUAAAGGAUGUGCCUUUGUCAAAUAUGGGAGUCAUGCAGAGGCGCAAGCCGCUAUCAGUAGUCUCCACGGCAGUCAGACCAUGCCGGGAGCAUCGUCCAGCCUGGUGGUGAAGUUUGCUGACACAGACAAGGAGAGAACCCUUCGGCGGAUGCAUCAGAUGGCAGGACAGCUGGGGAUCUUCAAUCCAAUGACGAUCCAGUUUGGAGCCUACGGGGCAUAUACGCAAGCGAUAAUGCAGCAGCAGGCAGCUCUGAUGGCUGCAGCACAAGGAACUUGCCUCAACCCCAUGGCGGCCAUUGCGGCGGCACAGAUGCAACAGAUGGCGGCGUUUAACGUCAGCGGGUUGGUUGCUGCUCCCAUGACACCCUCAUCAGGUACAAGCACACCUCCGGGGAUCAGCACAGCACCUGUUCCCAGCAUAGCCACACCCAUCGGGGUGAAUGGAUUCAGCCCUCUCCCACCACAGACCAAUGGGCAGCCAGCAUCAGAAACUAUUUACACCAAUGGAAUCCAUCCAUACCCAGCUCAAAGUCCCACUGUGGCAGACCCCCUCCAACAAGCCUACGCAGGCAUGCAGCACUAUGCAGCAGCAUACCCAGCCGCCUAUGCACCAAUCAGCCAGGCCUUCCCCCAGCAAGCUCCCAUCAUCCCCCAGCAGCAGAGAGAAGGUCCCGAAGGCUGUAACCUCUUCAUUUAUCACCUGCCCCAGGAGUUUGGGGAUGCAGAACUUAUGCAGAUGUUCUUGCCUUUCGGCAACGUCAUCUCUGCCAAAGUCUUUGUUGACCGUGCCACCAACCAAAGUAAAUGCUUUGGUUUCGUCAGUUUUGACAAUCCAACUAGUGCUCAGGCAGCCAUUCAGGCCAUGAACGGCUUCCAGAUCGGCAUGAAGAGGCUAAAGGUCCAACUAAAGCGGCCAAAAGAUGCUAACAGACCCUACUGACCCGUGUUCACCUUGGCCCUGAAAGCAGACCAGGCCAAUCAUAGCUCCAAGGAUGACCCCACAGUUGCCUAGCAACCCUCUAGCUGUUAUGGGAGACUCAAACAAAAACUCUCCCUCCCAAAUUAUCUGAAACUAUGGGAUGCCAUGCGGCGUACGAAGAGUAUUCCCCUUGUCCCACGUGCAGUAUCCAGACUUGUAACUCUCUUUCUUUGCAACAUAUCACGGAGGAGGAGGAGGAGGAGGUGGAAGAGGAAGCAGGAUGCUCGUGAAAAAGAGGAGAGCCAGUUUGGUUGUACCUUUUUUAUUUUUAUUUUAUUUUCCAAAUCGGUUGGGGUUUCGGGGGGGGUGUUUCUUUUCCUUUUUCCUUUUGCCGCUUUAAGGCGAGAGAAAGCAAAGAAGGUGGUUGUGACGAUAUUGGACAAAAGGGAAAGAGGCGUCGCUAUUUGCCGACUCUAAACUCCAUGAGGGGAAGGAGCCGCUGGAGAAGACGUGUGUUUUUUAAGACCCCUCACGAGGAGAGGGGUAGGAUUUUGCAACAGGAAAAGGUCGCAGGCACAGAGCCUGCCUGGUGGGACCAGCCUCUCUCUAAAGCACUUGACCGAUGCUCAAGAUUUCAGAAGAGGGAGGCCAAACAGAUCUAAACCAAAGCCGGUGGGUUUGGACCAGGCCUGUAUGUUACACCUGGGAAACGCUUUUUGUUUUUAAAAAGGGGGAAAGAAAAAAAGGGGAACUUUUUUUUUCCGCAUCCGUUUGGGAAAAGAAAAAUCAGUUGCUAAGAGGAUGUUGAACUUAACAGAAGAUAUAUAUAUAAAUAGGUCUAUAUAUCUAUAUCCCGUGGAUUGGGGGUGGGGGUUUCUGUCCCACUUUGUCACCAGUCCAAGGAGAUUGGAUUAACUUCUUUCAAAGUCAUAUCAUUCCUUAGAGUUUAGGGACCAAAGGACUAUUGCUUUUUUAAUAUAUAUAUAAAUUAAUUAAUUUAAAAAACAAAACAAAACAAAAAAAAGAAACUCAAAGAGGUUUAAAAAAACUUAAAAAAAAAAAGCUUCAUGUCAAAGCUGCAAGUUGUUUCCAAGAGAAGCGAGCUCAAGCAAGCAAGCAAGCAAGCAGAUGUCGCCUCGUGAGCAGUGUGGCCAGUGCUGGUGGCCUUGUGACCGCAUUGAACACUAUGGGGUUCGGGUGAGUAGUGAAGCUGGCAGGAGGGGCCACUUUGGCCAGGGUGGGGGGUCUUGGCAGCAGCUCUCUCCUCCUCCUCUCUCCAGAUAGGCACUUGGAUUUCAGAAAAUUGGGGGGUUGUAAUCACAGUCCCUGAUCUGUUUCUCCCAUGCAUUGAAAGCUAAUGUAAACCAGAGCAAGAAGAGACACAGGACCAUAUUUUUGUGCAUGAGAAGCUGCCUUGCGCCAAGGCAGAUCAUCGGUGCGACUAAUUCAGUAUUGCCUACACCAGGGGUGGACUCCAGCUGCCGUCAGCCCCAGCCAUCAUGAUCAGUGGCUAGGGAUAAUGGGAGUUGGAGUCCAGCAGCAUCUGGAAUGCUACCGGUUUCCCACCCAUGCUUAGAUGGCUGUGUAGAGGAGCUGCAACGUCUCUCCACACUUGGAUGAUGCUUUUAUUAGGACCACCCAAAGUAUCACAAAAUGUUGGGCCAGCUCUUAGUAGGCUGAACAUCUAGCAAAGCAGAGGAACGGAGAAAGUUUGGCUUAUGGUAGCCUGAAAGUCUUCAUUUGGUGUUAAAAUAGAGGUGCAUUAGGAAGUUGCAGGCAUAACUGGAUGAGGCUUGGCGAAGGUGUUAUGCAGGUUUCACAGUGCGCCCAGGACUGAUAGGACAAAGAAAUGACCAAGGCUGGGUCAUGGGCAGGUCUGGAGCAUGACAGCAGCCAGGAACUGGGGGUGGUGUUCAAUACUAGUCCUGUUCAGAGUAGAUACACCAAAGUUAAUAGACAUGACUAAUUUAGGUUCCUUGAUUCCAAUGGGCCUACUCUUAGUAAGAGUUUGAGCCAGAUUGAAAGAGCUAUCCAGAUCAGAGGGCAAACCAGAGGUAGGACCAAAGAAUAAGGCUGGAAAUGCAAAAGCCACCAGAGGUUGGGUACACCUUGUUGCCCCACAGUGACAGGAAGUGCUCUUAAACUCCUUCCUGCCCAGGAGGAGCCAUUGACCAGCCUAAUUGGUGGGGUCAGUCCACAGCCUGGAAAAUUCUUUACUGAGAGGCUGCAAUUAUGCAUGUCACCACAUGGGACAGCAGUCAGCAAUUGUUGGCAGAAACACAGUGGCGCAUGAGCUCAUGCACGCACACACAAAUUUUUAAAAAAGAACCUAAUAAAGGACGUAACCCUAACAUUAGGCAAAACACACUGGUUCCUUCUUAGAGCGCAAAAGUAAAGAGGAAUAUGGCUAGAGGUUGAUUUCAGGUGGAAUGCUAGGUUUUUAAAAAUGUCAAAAGAAGUCAAAGUGGGUUACAUUAUCUGGUGGUUAGAGGGAAUGUGUAACCCUUGAAAAGUAAAGUGCCAUCUCCAGGUGGUAAAAAAUAAUAUUCCUUCAGUUUUAGGGUCCCACUUCUGAAUGGUUAAAUUUGGUUAUCCAAGUCACACAUAAAGCAAGAAGAAGUCCAUAAGAAAAGAAAUCUGAACUCCACAGUCAGGCAGCAAUACCAUUCUUAGCCCUUGCAUAUUUCAUGGUCUUAGUAGUCCUUAGUUGCACCCUGAAGCCUGCAUAGCACCUAGUCAAGCCUAAUGGACUUGGUGUCUGCAACUUCCUCCUACAUUCAAUCUUAAGACUGUACAUAAAUGCAGAGUGAUCACAACGUGCUAGAUUUCCCCCCCACUUCCUCUCCCCACUUUGCUCAACAUCCAGCCUGACAAAGAGCUUUAGAAAACUCAAAAGCUUACUCACUGUUUUGUGGCAUUUUGGCCUGUCCCAGUAGAGGUAUUUCCUGACUGUGGGGUUAUUCUAAUGCACCAACAUGGCUUCCUUUUCUUAAAGUGUAUCCUGGAGAAUUCCCUCCCUGUCUGGGAUAAGACCCAGAACUCUUUCAGUCAGAGAGCUCCAAGGAUGGAGACAGUGGAGUCCUUCAAAACUCCCCAGGAGAUAUCAUCCAAAGCAUUGACACCAGUAGAAGCUUUCAUGGAGGAAGAGCCCCAUCAGACAGUGGGGCUGGCACGCCUUGCUUCAAGGGAUGUAGCUCUGCUCCCCUUAUCUGACUCAGAUAUCUGACUCCACUACCUGCAGCUCCAGAGGGGCUGUCAUGGGAGCAUAGGAAACUGCCUUAUAUUGAGUCAGACCCAUUGAUUCAACUAGCUCCGUAUUGUCUGAGCCGAAUGACAAUGGCUCUCUGGGGCUUCAAACAGGGGACAUUCCCAGGACAUCCCUGGGGGGUGCCAGGGGUUGAACCUGGGAUCAUCUGCAUGCAAAGUAGGUGCUCUGCCACUGAGGUACCACGCCCUUCACCCUGCCAUGUCCAGAAGCCAGGGGAGGCACUCCAAUCUCGCCUGAGUGCACACCUGUAUAUUAGAAUACUUUAACUACCAAGCAGGCUGGCUUCAGGGAAGCCACGCCACACAAUUAAGCUUCAGCCAGCUCCAGACCAAGGAUGAAGCAAUAUUCCUAGUUCUUGCAAGAACUAUUCUGCUCCACAGGGAGCUCUCUGUGGUCCUGAAGCUCAACCAUCUACUACUGAACCCCUCCUUGAGCUCUAGCCUUGAACCUGCUCACUCUGUGAGCAGGUGCUGUUUGCAGAUCACAUGGGAUGGGCAGGUGGGUGAAUUAUUCCCUUUGUAGGAAAUUUUUCUCUGUGUGUCUCUCAUUGCCCUGGUGUAACCUUAGCCAAAUUCUCUAUUACUUUCAAGAAUCUGCUGGGGAAGAGGAGGAGGUCGGGGGGAGGGGGUCAGGUUUAAGGAAGUGCCAAAUAGAGUGAGCGAAAUGUCACGGUACAUGAAGGACCUGGGGUUGUCUCAUUGUCCUUCGUGGUUCACAUUCCCUAAUGCGGUCGCUUGGCCACUGGACGACUUCUUUUUCUUUCUUCUCUUCUUUAUUUUUAUUUUUUUAUUCUUUCUUUCUUUUUCUUAAGAAAAAAUGUGCUUCAUUGUUACAUUUCCUAGUGGUUUAGAACAGAAUGCUUUUUGUAGAGCGGUUAGCGUUUAACAUAGGAGAGCCCUCCAUUUGAAACAAAUGAAACCUAAAAAGAAAAAGGGGAAAAAAGACAAUCGACUUUA